RNAcentral lists this ribosomal RNA (251 nucleotides) under uncultured bacterium. RNAcentral describes it as "partial 16S ribosomal RNA". It matches the Rfam family "Bacterial small subunit ribosomal RNA", at positions 15 to 273 of the family's 1533-position model. The record is from RNAcentral.
GAUCCUGGCUCAGGACGAACGCUGGCGGCGUGCUUAACACAUGCAAGUCGAACGGGGCAUAGAGAUAUGCCUAGUGGCGGACGGGUGAGUAACACGUGAGCAACCUAUCCUAUACAACGGGAUAACACAGAGAAAUUUGUGCUAAUACGGUAUAAAACCACACUCCGGCAUCGGAGAGGGGUAAAAGCUGAGGCGGUAUAGGAGGGGCUCGCGGCCCAUUAGCUAGUUGGAGAGGUAACGGCUCACCAAGG